GCUCUUUGAGUGUUUAAGCAUAUUGUAUUUCGGCUACAGGGGAACGUGUGUAAAGAGUG
RNAcentral lists this transfer RNA (59 nucleotides) under Graffilla buccinicola. Its description in RNAcentral is "tRNA-Arg". The record is from RNAcentral. Lineage: Eukaryota; Metazoa; Platyhelminthes; Rhabdocoela; Graffillidae.